This 468-nucleotide ribosomal RNA is filed under the name uncultured bacterium. Its description in RNAcentral is "partial 16S ribosomal RNA". It matches the Rfam family "Bacterial small subunit ribosomal RNA", at positions 28 to 507 of the family's 1533-position model. The record is from RNAcentral.
GACGAACGCUGGCGGCGAGCUUAACACAUGCAAGUGGAACGGAAAGGCCCUGCUCUUGUGGGGUGCGCGAGUGGCGAACGGGUGAGUAACACGAGAGUAACCCGCCCUUGCCUUGGGGGCAACUUCAGGAAACGGGGGCUAAUAUCGGAUAGGAGCUCCGGCUGCGGGGUGGGGGUUGGAAAGGUUCGGCGGUGGGGGAUGGGCUCGCGGCUUAUCAGCCUGUUGGUGGGGUAGUGGCUUACCAAGGCUUUGACGGGUAGCCGGCCUGAGAGGGUGACCGGCCACAUUGGGUCUGAGAUACGGCCCAGACUCCUACGGGAGGCAGCCGUGGGGAAUAUUGCACAGUGGGCGGAAGCCUGAUGCAGCAACGCCGCGUGCGGGAUGACGGCCUUCGGGUUGUAAGCCGCUUUCGCCUGUGCCGAGGCGUGGGUGACGGUCCCGAGUACAGCAGCCCCGUCUGCCUCCGUG